Molecule: ribosomal RNA, 496 nt
Filed under: uncultured bacterium
Lineage: Bacteria
Description: partial 16S ribosomal RNA
Rfam family: Bacterial small subunit ribosomal RNA
Source: RNAcentral
GAUGAACGCUGGCGGCGUGCCUAAUACAUGCAAGUCGAGCGAACGGACGAGAAGCUUGCUUCUCUGAUGUUAGCGGCGGACGGGUGAGUAACACGUGGAUAACCUACCUAUAAGACUGGGAUAACUUCGGGAAACCGGAGCUAAUACCGGAUGAUAUUUUGAACCGCAUGGUUCAAAAGUGAAAGACGGUCUUGCUGUCACUUAUAGAUGGAUCCGCGCUGCAUUAGUUAGUUGGUAAGGUAACGGCUUACCAAGGCAACGAUGCAUAGCCGACCUGAGAGGGUGAUCGGCCACACGGGAACUGGGACCCGGUCCGGACUCCUACGGAGGCAGCAGUAGGGAAUCUUCCGCAAUGGGCGAAAGCCUGACGGAGCAACGCCGCGUGAGUGAUGAAGGUCUUCGGAUCGUAAAACUCUGUUAUUAGGGAAGAACAUAUGUGUAAGUAACUGUGCACAUCUUGACGGUACCUAAUCAGAAAGCCACGGCUAACUACGUG